This 1286-nucleotide long non-coding RNA is filed under the name Oreochromis niloticus (Nile tilapia). RNAcentral's name for it is "lncRNA (ENSONIG00000031564.1)". The record is from RNAcentral. Lineage: Eukaryota; Metazoa; Chordata; Actinopteri; Cichliformes; Cichlidae.
AUGGUCUCCAGCAGACAAGCGCCUGGAAUGAGGCCCAGUGAAAGAUCUGAAGCAGAAAUGGUGUCAUUAGGAGAAGAAGUCAAAGGAGUUUGCAAAGAAAAGCGUCUGGACUUCUUUAAGUUGCUUGAAGACGUUUCACCUCUCAGAACUGAAGAAGCUUCUCGGAUGAGAGGUGAAACGUCUUCAAGCAACUUAAAGAAGUCCAGACGCUUUUCUUUGCAAACUCCUUUGACUACGAUGACCUGGAUGACUGAGAACCUUCACAGACAUUAGGAGAAGAAGAGAAGAAGAAGUACGGCGAGGAGGCAGCAGCUCUUAAAGAUGAAACACAGCAACUUAGCCCUGAGCUCAGAGAGCUUCACAUGAAAAAGCUCCUCAAGCAGAUCAUGUCAGAGGUUUGUCAUCAACAGGAGGAACUGUUCAUAUCAUAGAAUGAAGGAUGCUGUCAGCUGGAUGAAGAAGGUUAUUUAAUGGCAAACGUUCACAUUGAAGUCAAAUUGUUGUGGUGUUGAACAGAUUCAUGUACUGAUUGUCUCCAGAAUGUUAGAAGAGCUUCAAUGAAUCAUUAGAAACAACUUACAGCUGCACAGUUGUGUCAAACACAUCUUUGUGUCAUUGUGGGAUUUUUGUGUUUCUACAUGUGACACACGUCUAAAACAUGCACACAAUUUGAACACAAACAGGGACUCAUUUGUUCCCACAGCCAGAUGCUGAGAGCCAUUUCCUUGUAGUCCUGUGUCUAUAUAUAUGUACCAUUAGAUGUUAUUGGAAUGAUUGUCAGCUUUGAUAGUUUCAUGUAUGUUUAGCUGGACGGCUGUUUGAUCCUCCACAUGUUUAAAGGUGUCCAGUCCUGAGACACUGGGGGUGGAAACAGCUGUGAUGUCAUUGGACUGUCACAAAGACAGAAGUGCAUGAAGUGAGCAGCCAAGGAGCCGCUGAUGUUUUGGAUUCAACAGCAUUUGAAAGGUUGACACAGACACAUUUGCACAUAGAAAGCUGAAUUUGUCAUAAAUUUGACUUUGACAUAAAGACAUCAAACUCAAGCUGACUAUAAAUUCUACUUUUACAGUUUUUUCUGAAUGCUUAGACCCUAACUGUGAUUCUUAUAGCACAAUUUCUAAAACUAUUAAUACUUAUAGCAAAACCACUCACUGAGUUUGCAAAACUAAAAGCACAAACUCUGCUUUGCACUCAGUUUGCCAUUUUGUAACACACACUUUGCAAACCUGUAGCUACAAUCCACUGCACAGCACUCUUUUUGCAGAACUGUAAACACAACUCACGGC